This 253-nucleotide ribosomal RNA is filed under the name uncultured bacterium. Its description in RNAcentral is "partial 16S ribosomal RNA". It matches the Rfam family "Bacterial small subunit ribosomal RNA", at positions 524 to 776 of the family's 1533-position model. The record is from RNAcentral.
UACGGGGGGGGCAAGCGUUGUUCGGAAUUACUGGGCGUAAAGGGCUCGUAGGUGGCCAACUAAGUCAGACGUGAAAUCCCUCGGCUUAACCGGGGAACUGCGUCUGAUACUGGAUGGCUUGAGUUCGGGAGAGGGAUGCGGAAUUCCAGGUGUAGCGGUGAAAUGCGUAGAUAUCUGGAGGAACACCGGUGGCGAAGGCGGCACUCUGGGCCGGAACUGACGCUGAGGAGCGAAAGCGUGGGGAGCAAACAGG